Betta splendens (Siamese fighting fish) is the source of this 2285-nucleotide long non-coding RNA. RefSeq lists it as uncharacterized. The transcript has 2 exons. The record is from RefSeq and is a predicted model, not a curated record. NCBI's taxonomy places the organism in Eukaryota, Metazoa, Chordata, Actinopteri, Anabantiformes, Osphronemidae.
AAGAAGAUAUUGUUACAAGACAAAAGACAGAGACUUAAAUUAACAUUUCGUCACUGCGUUUAUCUUCACAUGACUUCCCAAAUUGGUCCGUCCCUGAAAUGAGUAACUGAUAGUAAAUGUGUUCCGCCUGGAAUAUAACGGUUUUAAAACCACUUGUAAUUUAAAGUAAACGUGCUAAAAGACACGUACAAGUAUCACAAAUUAUCUAUGCGAGUUUUAAAAUACAUGGAAUAGUGAUUUAGUGUUAUUAUUUUAAUGACAUUUGGAGCGGAAGUCGGGGUCCGUGAGUAACAGCAUGAAAAAGAAGGCGUGUUUCGCAAUGCGCUUGGAGAUAUACAGUCACAUCAGAGGUCAGAUAAGGAGCGCUUCAGUUUUCUGUUAAAUUUCUUCUGCUGCUUUAAUCCAGCUAUAAUGAAACAACACAAACUGUCCGCCUCGAAGCGUCUGACCAAACCCAUUUUGUUUGGGACAAUAAUCCUUGGACUAUUGCUGCUUUCAUAAACAGGCACAGAUUCUUGGACGAUAUAGAUGAUCUCAGGGCAGAGGAGCGAGCACGCUACGAAGCCAAGAGGUUAGAGGUGCUAGAAAGGAGGCAGAGGCAGAUAGAAGAGCUGGCUAAGCUGAAGAGGAGAACAGGGGACAGCUGAAAUCUCCCAGGAUGCUUCUGCAGGAGAUAUGUUAAUCAGUCUACAGAUGUGCAUACAGUCUGCACAUCUGUACACAGCCUCAUUGUAGAGGUUGUAGUAGAAGUUGUAGUUCUCAUAUUUGUCCAGUAGAGGGCAUCAUUAUGACUAGAAGCACUAAGCAUUGAUUAUAUUCAACGAUGUGAUACUGAAGCAAAAAAACAACAACACAUUUUUUACAGCCUUGACAAAUCACUGCAGCCACAUUUUCUGCCACAGUAAGAACUGAUCAGACAUUGAAAAUGUAAUAGAUGAACUUUAAUCAUCUCUUUUAUUAAAACAUGCCAAAAAGAAAUAAAUUAAACCAACAAUAAACAAUAUUGCACUUGAAUGAAAAUGACAAAGUGACAAAUUAGGUUCACACAAGGUCAAAGAGCCUCAGGUGCUUUCUUUGUACUGUAACGAAAACGAGCAGAGUCAUGAAUAAUACAGUUAGACUGCAAUAGGAUAAAACGUUUCUGUAGAAUAGGAUCUGGUUAAAUGUUCUCAACAGGACGACAGCAACGCUUCAGCGGCUGCCGUGAAAUAACGAUCAAUAUGACCAGUACUGUACACAUCAUGUCACAUAAUUCAAAAGUUCGACGUUGUGUUUGUCUCACCCCACUAACACGUAGACCCCCUGCUGGUCCAGACAGCUGUGAAGCCUAAUUAUAGCAGUAAAAAGAACAGUAGAAGCCAAAUGCACCUGAAUUCUCUCUUGCGCAUCAAAGGUCGUGUUUAGAACUACUCAUCUGUGCAGCUCAUGUGUUUAACGUCAAUAAUUGAUGGAGUCAUUCACCAUGUGUCACACACUUGGGACAUGUGCUCUCAUUAAACCUCACAAGUGAACAUCAGUGCACUUAUCCAUCGCUGGCUUUCCAUAAUAUAGGUUAUUGCUGAUAAAAGCUGUGGCAAAGAGCUGUUUAAUGUCCAUUUAAUGUCACAAUGUGCAGCUUAAAAACAUUAAUUGCAUAUUUUUUACUUUUUGAAUCACUGGAUGCGCCUAUUCACGAGUCAGGGUUUAGCUCAACGUUACAACAGGCUUGUUGCUGUGUGAGUACUGAAACAGUUCAGGUUUGAUUCUGGUGCUGAAACCCCAAAUAUAUUUCCCUAAAUAUAUAGUACAAUAUCAUCUUUCAUGACAUCUUCUAGACAAUACCUGUCUGUAUUGUCUAGAAGAUGUCAAUUAGGGUCAAAAUUCACAGGUCAUGUGUGAAGUUAUUAAUAUUUACCUAAAGCUAGUGAAUAACUUAAAAAAGGACCAUUACUGCCAAAUUCCAGCUUUAACAGGAAGAACAACCCCAGCUAUAUAAACUGUGUCCAUGUGUUUGGCUUAACUGUGAGCAAACAGUAGAUACAGCAACACAGAAUAUACCGACAGACCAUAAUUACAGUAAGAACGAAGCACAAGUGUCGAGUCAGAACAACAGACACAGAGCAUCCAGGACAAACAGUACAACGACGUUUAGACAGUGUUUUCCACCCGACUGGUUUCUGUCCUUUUCUGCUGGAUGUGUGGAGGUUUAAGGUCACACAGCGAGCGGCACCAAGCCCGGGGAGGAGGCGGCGGGAGCGGUGGUGAUGGCCGUCAGGGUACCAGGUUCCAACCCGUUCACCGUCCUG